This 422-nucleotide ribosomal RNA is filed under the name uncultured bacterium. Its description in RNAcentral is "partial 16S ribosomal RNA". It matches the Rfam family "Bacterial small subunit ribosomal RNA", at positions 360 to 774 of the family's 1533-position model. The record is from RNAcentral.
AAUAUUGGACAAUGGUGGCAACCCUGAUCCAGCCAUGCCGCGUGUGUGAAGAAGGUCUUCGGAUUGUAAAGCACUUUAAGCUGGGGGGAAGGGCUUUAGGCUAAUACCCUGAAGUUUUGACGUUACCAACAGAAUAAGCACCGGCUAACACUGUGCCAUCAGCCGCGGUAAUAAGGAGGGGGAAAGCGUUAAUCGGAAUUACUGGGCGUAAAGCACGCGUAGGUGGUUCAGUAAGAUGGGUGUGAAAUCCCCGGGCUUAACCUGGGAACUGCUUUCAUAACUGCUGAGCUAGAGUACGGUAGAGGGUAGUGGAAUUUCCUGUGUAGCGGUGAAAUGCGUAGAUAUAGGAAGGAACACCAGUGGCGAAGGCGACUACCUGGACUGAUACUGACACUGAGGUGCGAAAGCGUGGGGAGCAAACA